Molecule: ribosomal RNA, 600 nt
Filed under: bacterium enrichment culture clone T44x_EXP-B08_T3-_F08
Lineage: Bacteria
Description: bacterial SSU rRNA
Rfam family: Bacterial small subunit ribosomal RNA
Source: RNAcentral
GGCUGCGGGAAACUGCAGGUAACACCGGAUACGCACGAGAGUGGAAAGUUUACGCCCUGGGAUGGGCCCGCGUCGGAUUAGGUAGUUGGUGGGGUAACGGCCUACCAAGCCUGCGAUCCGUAACCGGUCUGAGAGGAUGAUCGGUCACACUGGGACUGAGACACGGCCCAGACUCCUACGGGAGGCAGCAGUGGGGAAUCUUGGACAAUGGGGGCAACCCUGAUCCAGCGACGCCGCGUGGGUGAUGAAGGCCUUCGGGUCGUAAAGCCCUUUUGCCGGGGAAGAUGAUGACGGCACCCGGAGAAGAAGCACCGGCUAACUCUGUGCUAGCAGCCGCGGUAAGACAGAGGGUGCUAGCGUUGUUCGGAAUUACUGGGCGUAAAGGGCGCGUAGGCGGCUCGUUUAGUCGGGUGUGAAAUCCCGGGGCUCAACCCCGGAACUGCAUUCGAUACUGGCGGGCUAGAGACCGAGAGAGGUGGGUGGAAUACCCAGUGUAGAGGUGAAUUUCGUAGAUAUUGGGUGGAACACCGGUGGCGAAGGCGGCUCACUGGCUCGGUUCUGACGCUGAGGCGCGAAAGCGUGGGGAGCAAAAGGGAUUAG